UAGAGUUUGAUCCUGGCUCAGGACGAACGCUGGCGGCGUGCCUAAUACAUGCAAGUCGAGCGCAGGAAACCAGAUGACCCCUUCGGGGUGAUUCUGGCGGAAUGAGCGGCGGACGGGUGAGUAACACGUGGGCAACCUGCCUGUAAGACUGGGAUAACUUCGGGAAACCGGAGCUAAUACCGGAUAGUAUUUCCUUUCUCCUGAUUGGAAAUGGAAAGACGGUUUCGGCUGUCACUUACAGAUGGGCCCGCGGUGCAUUAGCUAGUUGGUGGGGUAAUGGCCCACCAAGGCGACGAUGCAUAGCCGACCUGAGAGGGUGAUCGGCCACACUGGGACUGAGACACGGCCCAGACUCCUACGGGAGGCAGCAGUAGGGAAUCUUCCGCAAUGGACGAAAGUCUGACGGAGCAACGCCGCGUGAGCGAUGAAGGCCUUCGGGUCGUAAAACUCUGUUGUUAGGGAAGAACAAGUACGAGAGUAACUGCUCGUACCUUGACGUACCAACCU
RNAcentral lists this ribosomal RNA (507 nucleotides) under Terribacillus saccharophilus. RNAcentral's name for it is "bacterial SSU rRNA". It matches the Rfam family "Bacterial small subunit ribosomal RNA", at positions 1 to 484 of the family's 1533-position model. The record is from RNAcentral. Lineage: Bacteria; Bacillati; Bacillota; Bacilli; Caryophanales; Bacillaceae.